GGGCUGGGGCUCAGCGGUAGAGCAUUCGCCUAGCAUGUGCGAGGCCCUGGGUUCCAUUCUCAGCACCACA
Molecule: transfer RNA, 70 nt
Filed under: Marmota monax (woodchuck)
Lineage: Eukaryota; Metazoa; Chordata; Mammalia; Rodentia; Sciuridae
Description: tRNA.Ala
Source: RNAcentral